UUAUGGCAGGGUGUAUAACCCCAAGCCACAGGAUGUUCAGGCACCUCAGACUAUUGAGGGUGUACGUCAGUUCCAGGCUUGAGCUUGUUCGUGCAGAGCAGAGACGAUCUUCCAUUCUACCGAAGAUGUAGGGUUUCUUUCCAGAUCUUGGAUUUGGGUUUUAUCUUUUAUUUUACUUUCAUUUAGUGUGAGACUUUUAUUAGGGGUCCACUAGAGAUGGAUUCCCGAGUUGUUCAAAUUAUGGAUAUUUGGUUUAUCAAAUUUAAGUAUUUAAUUAUUUAAGGAUUAUCUUUUA
Cornus florida is the source of this 295-nucleotide long non-coding RNA. RefSeq lists it as uncharacterized. NCBI's taxonomy places the organism in Eukaryota, Viridiplantae, Streptophyta, Magnoliopsida, Cornales, Cornaceae. The transcript has 2 exons. The record is from RefSeq and is a predicted model, not a curated record.